RNAcentral lists this transfer RNA (75 nucleotides) under Mesocricetus auratus (golden hamster). It matches the Rfam family "tRNA". Rfam says of the family: Transfer RNA (tRNA) molecules are approximately 80 nucleotides in length. Their secondary structure includes four short double-helical elements and three loops (D, anti-codon, and T loops). The record is from Rfam by way of RNAcentral. Lineage: Eukaryota; Metazoa; Chordata; Mammalia; Rodentia; Cricetidae.
GGGAGUGUAGCUCAGUGGUGGAGCGCUUGCCUGGCAUACGGGAAGAAGCCCUGAGUUCAAUCCCCAGCGCUACAA